CACAACAAACACACAAAAUGAAUCUCUUCAUCAUCACCUUCAUGUGGAUUCUUGCUGUUUUUAUUCAAGAGUCCAGAGGAGUUACUGUAACUCAGAGUAAAGCUGAAUCUGUUUCUGAGGGUCAAAAUGUAAAUAUAAAGUGUACAACUAAUCCUGGAAUAGAUAGCUGGGGUUUAUCUUGGUAUCAGCAGAAACCUGGAGAAGCUCCUAAACUCCUCAUUUAUCAGUUUAGCAAAAGAUACUCAGCACUGAAUGAAUGAAGCACGUAUGAAUAGAAAGCCACUGUUGUGAGACAUGAAUGAGAAGAAGAGC
Triplophysa rosa is the source of this 312-nucleotide non-coding RNA. The record is from the annotation of a RefSeq genome assembly. NCBI's taxonomy places the organism in Eukaryota, Metazoa, Chordata, Actinopteri, Cypriniformes, Nemacheilidae.